Molecule: ribosomal RNA, 1260 nt
Filed under: metagenome
Description: bacterial SSU rRNA
Rfam family: Bacterial small subunit ribosomal RNA
Source: RNAcentral
AGCUAGAUGGUGAGGUAAAGGCUUACCAUGGCGACGAUCAGCAGCUGGUCUGAGAGGAUGAGCAGCCACACUGGGACUGAGACACGGCCCAGACUCCUACGGGAGGCAGCAGUGGGGAAUUUUCCGCAAUGGGCGCAAGCCUGACGGAGCAAUACCGCGUGAGGGAGGAAGGCUCUUGGGUUGUAAACCUCAAAACUUAGGGAAGAAGAAAGUGACGGUACCUAAUGUAAGCAUCGGCUAACUCCGUGCCAGCAGCCGCGGUAAUACGGAGGAUGCAAGCGUUAUCCGGAAUCAUUGGGCGUAAAGAGUCCGUAGGUGGCAAUUCAAGUCUGCUGUCAAAGACCGAAGCUCAACUUCGGGCCGGCGGUGGAAACUGAAAAGCUAGAGUAUAGUAGGGGUAGAGGGAAUUCCUAGUGUAGCGGUGAAAUGCGUAGAGAUUAGGAAGAACACCAGUGGCGAAGGCGCUCUACUGGGCAUAUACUGACACUGAGGGACGAAAGCUAGGGUAGCGAAAGGGAUUAGAUACCCCUGUAGUCCUAGCGGUAAACGAUGGAUACUAGGUGUUGUCUGUAUCGACCAGACAGUGCCGAAGCAAACGCGUUAAGUAUCCCGCCUGGGGAGUACGCACGCAAGUGUGAAGCUCAAAGGAAUUGACGGGGACCCGCACAAGCGGAGGAGUAUGUGGUUUAAUUCGAUGCAACGCGAAGAACCUUACCAAGGCUUGACAUCCUGCGAAUGGAGAGGAAACUCACCAGUGCCUUCGGGAACGCAGAGACAGGUGGUGCAUGGCUGUCGUCAGCUCGUGUCGUGAGAUGUUGGGUUAAGUCCCGCAACGAGCGCAACCCUCGUCCUUAGUUGCCAGCAUUCAGUUGGGGACUCUAGGGAGACCGCCGGGGAGAACUCGGAGGAAGGUGGGGAUGACGUCAAGUCAGCAUGCCCCUUACGUCUUGGGCUACACACGUACUACAAUGGUGGAGACAAAGGGAAGCGAAGCCGCGAGGUGAAGCGAAUCCCAGCAAACUCUGCCCCAGUUCAGAUUGCAGGCUGAAACUCGCCUGCAUGAAGGAGGAAUCGCUAGUAAUCGCAGGUCAGCAUACUGCGGUGAAUCCGUUCCCGGGUCUUGUACACACCGCCCGUCACACCAUGGAAGUUGGUCACGCCCGAAGUCGUUACUCCAACCCUUUAUGGGAGGAGGAUGCCGAAGGUGGGACUAGUGACUGGGGUGAAGUCGUAACAAGGUAGCCGUACCGGGUGUGGCUG